UACGAGUGCCUCAAGCGUUAUCCGGAAUCAUUGGGCGUAAAGGAUGUGUAGGUGGCCGUGUUAGUCUCUCGUUAAAUUCUUCGGCUUAACCGGGGGUCUGCGGGGGAAACGGCACAACUAGAGGAUGCAAGGGGUCUGCGGAACUCAUAGUGUAGCGGUGAAAUGCGUUGAUAUUAUGGGGAACACCAAAAGCGAAGGCAGCAGACUAGGGCACUCCUGACACUGAAACAUGAAAGCGUGGGUAGCGAAUGGG
RNAcentral lists this ribosomal RNA (253 nucleotides) under uncultured bacterium. Its description in RNAcentral is "partial 16S ribosomal RNA". It matches the Rfam family "Bacterial small subunit ribosomal RNA", at positions 524 to 776 of the family's 1533-position model. The record is from RNAcentral.